This 440-nucleotide ribosomal RNA is filed under the name uncultured bacterium. RNAcentral's name for it is "bacterial SSU rRNA". It matches the Rfam family "Bacterial small subunit ribosomal RNA", at positions 335 to 762 of the family's 1533-position model. The record is from RNAcentral.
ACUCCUACGGGGAGGCAGCAGUGGGGAAUAUUGCGCAAUGGACGAAAGUCUGACGCAGCGACGCCGCGUGGAGGAUGAAGGUUUUCGGAUCGUAAACUCCUGUCAAGAGGGAAGAAACCUAUUAUGAAUAAUACUCAUAGUAAUUGACGGUACCUCUAGAGGAAGCACCGGCUAAUUCAGUGCCAGCAGCCGCGGUAAUACUGAAGGUGCAAGCGUUAAUCGGAAUCACUGGGCGUAAAGCGCUCGUAGGUGGCUUUGUAAGUCAGGUGUGAAACGCCCACGGCUCAACCGUGGAAUUGCACUUUGAUACUGCAUCGCUAGAGUAUAGGAGAGGGAAGUUGGAAUUUCUGGUGUAGGAGUGAAAUCCGUAGAGAUCAGAAGGAACACCGGUGGCGAAGGCGACUUCCUGGACUAUUACUGACACUGAGGAGCGAAAGCGU